Molecule: unclassified non-coding RNA, 371 nt
Filed under: uncultured fungus
Lineage: Eukaryota; Fungi
Description: sequence contains ITS1
Rfam family: 5.8S ribosomal RNA (bases 1-106)
Source: RNAcentral
GAAUCGCGAUAGGUAAUGUGAAUUGCAGAAAUUCCGUGAAUCAUCGAAUCUUUGAACGCAUAUUGCGCUCUUUGGUAUUCCAAAGAGCAUGCCUGUCUGAGCGUCAUAUCCAUCUCUAGACAUUUAUGAUUGAUUCAUUUCGUCAUAAGGUCUCGGUCAUGAAUCCAUGACGUUGUGAAUUGCAAAUUCAUACGUCUGAUUCCAAAGACAUGGCAGCGUUGGCUUUGCAUCGUUGUGACGUACAUUCGUAUAUCAACAUACAAAACUUCACAUCGUGCUUUGUCAUCUCCCCGCUGCAUCCCCUCAUCAUCAUUUCUAACUAUACCAAUCAUGGUGACCUCAGAUCAGGUAGGAGUACCCGCUGAACUUAA